This 554-nucleotide ribosomal RNA is filed under the name uncultured Enterococcus sp. RNAcentral's name for it is "bacterial SSU rRNA". It matches the Rfam family "Bacterial small subunit ribosomal RNA", at positions 319 to 863 of the family's 1533-position model. Lineage: Bacteria; Bacillati; Bacillota; Bacilli; Lactobacillales; Enterococcaceae. The record is from RNAcentral.
AUGGCUGCCGGCCCCGCCCGCCUACGGGAGGCAGCAGUAUGGAAUCUUCGGCAAUGGACGAAAGUCUGACCGAGCAACGCCGCGUGAGUGAAGAAGGUUUUCGGAUCGUAAAACUCUGUUGUUAGAGAAGAACAAGGACGUUAGUAACUGAACGUCCCCUGACGGUAUCUAACCAGAAAGCCACGGCUAACUACGUGCCAGCAGCCGCGGUAAUACGUAGGUGGCAAGCGUUGUCCGGAUUUAUUGGGCGUAAAGCGAGCGCAGGCGGUUUCUUAAGUCUGAUGUGAAAGCCCCCGGCUCAACCGGGGAGGGUCAUUGGAAACUGGGAGACUUGAGUGCAGAAGAGGAGAGUGGAAUUCCAUGUGUAGCGGUGAAAUGCGUAGAUAUAUGGAGGAACACCAGUGGCGAAGGCGGCUCUCUGGUCUGUAACUGACGCUGAGGCUCGAAAGCGUGGGGAGCAAACAGGAUUAGAUACCCUGGUAGUCCACGCCGUAAACGAUGAGUGCUAAGUGUUGGAGGGUUUCCGCCCUUCAGUGCUGCAGCAAACGCAUUAA